GACAUCUUGGCCGAGUGGUCUAUGGCGGCAGAGAAAUAAUCUGUUUCCUUCGGGAGCGGAGGUUCGAAUCCUCCAGAUGUCA
RNAcentral lists this transfer RNA (82 nucleotides) under Opeltia flavorubescens. Its description in RNAcentral is "tRNA-Ile (AAT) (tRNA-Ile-AAT-4-1)". It matches the Rfam family "tRNA". From Rfam's summary of the family: Transfer RNA (tRNA) molecules are approximately 80 nucleotides in length. Their secondary structure includes four short double-helical elements and three loops (D, anti-codon, and T loops). The record is from RNAcentral. Lineage: Eukaryota; Fungi; Ascomycota; Lecanoromycetes; Teloschistales; Teloschistaceae.